CAGCCGCCGCGGUAAUACGUAGGGUGCAAGCGUUAAUCGGAAUUACUGGGCGUAAAGCGUGCGCAGGCGGUUUGUUAAGACAGAUGUGAAAUCCCCGGGCUCAACCUGGGAACUGCAUUUGUGACUGGCUAGCUAGAGUGUGGCAGAGGGGGGUGGAAUUCCGCGUGUAGCAGUGAAAUGCGUAGAUAUGCGGAGGAACACCGAUGGCGAAGGCAGCCCCCUGGGCCAACACUGACGCUCAUGCACGAAAGCGUGGGGAGCAAACAGGAUUAGAUACCCGCGUAGUCCCUGUCUCUUAUAC
RNAcentral lists this ribosomal RNA (301 nucleotides) under uncultured bacterium. RNAcentral describes it as "partial 16S ribosomal RNA". It matches the Rfam family "Bacterial small subunit ribosomal RNA", at positions 509 to 807 of the family's 1533-position model. The record is from RNAcentral.